This 821-nucleotide ribosomal RNA is filed under the name Pedobacter sp. RODV2. Its description in RNAcentral is "bacterial SSU rRNA". It matches the Rfam family "Bacterial small subunit ribosomal RNA", at positions 54 to 876 of the family's 1533-position model. The record is from RNAcentral. Lineage: Bacteria; Pseudomonadati; Bacteroidota; Sphingobacteriia; Sphingobacteriales; Sphingobacteriaceae.
CAUGCAGUCGAGGGGUAGAGGAGAGCUUGCUUUCCUUGAGACCGGCGCACGGGUGCGUAACGCGUAUGCAACCUACCUUAAUCUGGGGGAUAGCCUCUCGAAAGAGAGAUUAACACCGCAUAAAAUCAAAGAACGGCAUCGUUUAAUGAUCAAAUAUUUAUAGGAUUAAGAUGGGCAUGCGUGACAUUAGCUAGUUGGUGAGGUAACGGCUCACCAAGGCGACGAUGUCUAGGGGAUCUGAGAGGAUGACCCCCCACACUGGUACUGAGACACGGACCAGACUCCUACGGGAGGCAGCAGUAAGGAAUAUUGGUCAAUGGAGGCAACUCUGAACCAGCCAUGCCGCGUGCAGGAAGACGGCCCUACGGGUUGUAAACUGCUUUUAUUCGGGAAUAAACCUCUUUACGUGUAAAGAGUUGAAUGUACCGAAAGAAUAAGGAUCGGCUAACUCCGUGCCAGCAGCCGCGGUAAUACGGAGGAUCCAAGCGUUAUCCGGAUUUAUUGGGUUUAAAGGGUGCGUAGGCGGCUUAUUAAGUCAGGGGUGAAAGACGGUGGCUCAACCAUCGCAGUGCCUUUGAUACUGAUGAGCUUGAAUACACUAGAGGUAGGCGGAAUGUGACAAGUAGCGGUGAAAUGCAUAGAUAUGUCACAGAACACCAAUUGCGAAGGCAGCUUACUAUGGUGUCAUUGACGCUGAGGCACGAAAGCGUGGGGAUCAAACAGGAUUAGAUACCCUGGUAGUCCACGCCCUAAACGAUGAAUACUCGAUGUUAGCGAUAUACAGUUAGCGUCUAAGCGAAAGCGUUAAGUAUUCCACCUGG